RNAcentral lists this ribosomal RNA (497 nucleotides) under uncultured bacterium. Its description in RNAcentral is "partial 16S ribosomal RNA". It matches the Rfam family "Bacterial small subunit ribosomal RNA", at positions 28 to 507 of the family's 1533-position model. The record is from RNAcentral.
GAUGAACGCUGGCGGCGUGCCUAAUACAUGCAAGUCGAGCGAACAGACGAGGAGCUUGCUCCUCUGACGUUAGCGGCGGACGGGUGAGUAACACGUGGAUAACCUACCUAUAAGACUGGGAUAACUUCGGGAAACCGGAGCUAAUACCGGAUAAUAUAUUGAACCGCAUGGUUCAAUAGUUAAAGACGGUUUUGCUGUCACUUAUAGAUGGAUCCGCGCCGCAUUAGCUAGUUGGUAAGGUAACGGCUUACCAAGGCAACGAUGCGUAGCCGACCUGAGAGGGUGAUCGGACACACUGGAACUGAGACACGGUCCAGACUCCUACGGGAGGCAGCAGUAGGGAAUCUUGCGCAAUGGGCGAAAGCCUGACGGAGCAACGCCGCGUGAGUGAUGAAGGUCUUCGGAUCGUAAAACUCUGUUAUUAGGGAAGAACAAAUGUGUAAGAAACUAUGCACGUCUUGACGGUACCUAAUCAGAAAGCCACGGCUAACUACGUG